AGUGAACGCUGGCGGUAGGCCUAACACAUGCAAGUCGAACGGCAGCACAGUAAGAGCUUGCUCUUACGGGUGGCGAGUGGCGGACGGGUGAGGAAUACAUCGGAAUCUACUUUUUCGUGGGGGAUAACGUAGGGAAACUUACGCUAAUACCGCAUACGACCUACGGGUGAAAGCAGGGGAUCUUCGGACCUUGCGCGAUUGAAUGAGCCGAUGUCGGAUUAGCUAGUUGGCGGGGUAAAGGCCCACCAAGGCGACGAUCCGGAGCUGGUCUGAGAGGAUGAUUCGGCACACCUGAACUUGAGCACCGGUCCCACCUCCUCCGGGAGGCAGCGGUGGGAAUUUUUGACCAAUGGGCGAAAGCCUGACCAACCCAACCCGCGUGGGUAAAAAAGCCUUUCGGUUUGUAAACCCCUUUGUUGGGAAAGAAAAGCAGCAGGUUAAUACCCCGCUGUUCUGACGGUACCCAAAGAAUAAGCACCGGCUAACUUCGUG
Molecule: ribosomal RNA, 492 nt
Filed under: uncultured bacterium
Lineage: Bacteria
Description: partial 16S ribosomal RNA
Rfam family: Bacterial small subunit ribosomal RNA
Source: RNAcentral